RNAcentral lists this ribosomal RNA (468 nucleotides) under uncultured bacterium. RNAcentral describes it as "partial 16S ribosomal RNA". It matches the Rfam family "Bacterial small subunit ribosomal RNA", at positions 28 to 507 of the family's 1533-position model. The record is from RNAcentral.
GACGAACGCUGGCGGCGUGCUUAACACAUGCAAGUCGAACGGAAAGGCCCUGCUUUUGUGGGGUGCUCGAGUGGCGAACGGGUGAGUAACACGUGAGUAACCUGCCCUUGACUUUGGGAUAUCUUCAGGAAACUGGGGCUAAUACCGGAUAGGAGCUCCUGCUGCAUGGUGGGGGUUGGAAAGUUUCGGCGGUUGGGGAUGGACUCGCGGCUUAUCAGCUUGUUGGUGGGGUAGUGGCUUACCAAGGCUUUGACGGGUAGCCGGCCUGAGAGGGUGACCGGCCACAUUGGGACUGAGAUACGGCCCAGACUCCUACGGGAGGCAGCAGUGGGGAAUAUUGCACAAUGGGCGGAAGCCUGAUGCAGCAACGCCGCGUGCGGGAUGACGGCCUUCGGGUUGUAAACCGCUUUCGCCUGUGACGAAGCGUGAGUGACGGUAAUGGGUAAAGAAGCACCGGCUAACUACGUG